CCUACGGGAGGCUGCAGUGGGGAAUAUUGCACAAUGGGGGAAACCCUGAUGCAGCGACGCCGCGUGAGUGAAGAAGUAAUUCGUUAUGUAAAGCUCUAUCAGCAGGGAAGAAAAUGACGGUACCUGAGUAAGAAGCACCGGCUAACUACGUGCCAGCAGCCGCGGUAAUAAGUAGGGGGCAGCGGUAAUCCGGAUUUAAUGGGGGUAAUGGGGACGUAGUCGGCAUUGCAAGUCUGGAGUGAAAGGCGGGGGCUCAACCCCCGGACUGCUCUGGAAACUGUACGGCUGGAGUGAAGGAGAGGUAAGUGGAAUUCCUGGUGUAGCGGUGAAAUGCGUAGAUAUUAGGAGGAACACCAGUGGCGAAGGCGGCUUACUGGACUGUAACUGACGUUGAGGCUCGAAAGCGUGGGGAGCAAACAGGAUUAGAUACCCCAGUAGUC
This 440-nucleotide ribosomal RNA is filed under the name uncultured bacterium. Its description in RNAcentral is "partial 16S ribosomal RNA". It matches the Rfam family "Bacterial small subunit ribosomal RNA", at positions 338 to 795 of the family's 1533-position model. The record is from RNAcentral.